GCUCACUUCAAUAGCACAUAGAAAAAUUGAGAAGGAAACAGAGAUGAUUAGCAUGGGUUCUGCAGGAGGAGGUUGUGCAUGUUUGUAAAGUAUUUCACAUUCUU
This is a small nuclear RNA of Hippopotamus amphibius kiboko, 104 nucleotides long. The record is from RefSeq and is a predicted model, not a curated record. NCBI's taxonomy places the organism in Eukaryota, Metazoa, Chordata, Mammalia, Artiodactyla, Hippopotamidae.